CUCCAGCUCGCCUCUUCAAUCGUCGGCACGAGCGCUCUCUUGCCUCGGCCGGUGUUGGUUUCCCGUGCUGGAUACCUCUUGCGAAGGGCAUUGCAUUCGGCUAAGCUGUCCCGAUUCCGUCCCGCGUCCGCGUGCCUCACGGCGCACGAGACGCGGACGGACCUCAGAGCAUCCUCCGUGGCGUCCCGAUCCGUGCGCUCCCGAAUGGGUUCCCGGUUCGACGAUCCAUGGCGGCCUGCUCGAUCUCUCGGAUGCAGAACACCCGUGGGUAUGAGGCGACGUCCUCCUAAUGUCCCGAAAAAAAAGCUUCUUGCGAACGACGGUCGCCACGGUCUCGGUCCCCUGCCCCCGUGGCAUCGGUCGUGCCGGGGCGACGUCGGUGAGGAAUGCUAC
RNAcentral lists this unclassified non-coding RNA (393 nucleotides) under Scutellaria nepetifolia. RNAcentral describes it as "partial contains external transcribed spacer and 18S ribosomal RNA". The record is from RNAcentral. Lineage: Eukaryota; Viridiplantae; Streptophyta; Magnoliopsida; Lamiales; Lamiaceae.